AGAGGGAAGUGGAAUUCCUGGUGUAGAGGUGAAAUUCGUAGAUAUCAGGAGGAACACCAGUGGCGAAGGCGACUUCCUGGAUCAAUACUGACGCUGAGGCGCGAAGGCAUGGGUAGCGAACAGGAUUAGAUACCCUGGUAGUCCACGCCGUAAACGAUGGAUACUAGCUGUCCGGGGCCUUGAGUUCUGGGCGGCCAAGCGAAAGUGAUAAGUAUCCCACCUGGGGAGUACGUUCGCAAGAAUGAAACUCAAAGGAAUUGACGGGGGCCCGCACAAGCGGUGGAGCAUGUGGUUUAAUUCGA
This 302-nucleotide ribosomal RNA is filed under the name Oxyrrhis marina. RNAcentral describes it as "partial Bacterial small subunit ribosomal RNA". It matches the Rfam family "Bacterial small subunit ribosomal RNA", at positions 653 to 954 of the family's 1533-position model. Lineage: Eukaryota; Dinophyceae; Oxyrrhinales; Oxyrrhinaceae. The record is from RNAcentral.